UCCAGCCGUGGUCAGACGCGAACCUGAACGUCGUGAGCCACUCCUUCUAGAGAAAGAGCAUGAGCAGAUUGCUCUAUCAGAGUUGCCAUGCCAGACUUGGGGAGAGCUGUUCCCAGCCCGAGAGCAGCUGGAGCAGCUCAGGCAGCAGGUGGAAGAGCCACAAGAGAAUGGCCAGAACAUCAAGGCAGAGCCACAAGCAGAGCUGCCCGAAGCCCAGAGUGACAUCAAGGCAGCGAAGAG
Corvus hawaiiensis (hawaiian crow) is the source of this 240-nucleotide long non-coding RNA. RefSeq lists it as uncharacterized. The record is from RefSeq and is a predicted model, not a curated record. The transcript has 3 exons. NCBI's taxonomy places the organism in Eukaryota, Metazoa, Chordata, Aves, Passeriformes, Corvidae.